CGCGCCGCCCCGGCUCCGCAGCCGGGCAGCGCCUGGGGUCUGCGGCGGGGGGCGGGCUGGCAGCUGCUGUGCGCAGGAGCGGCCCCGCGGUCGCGGAGAAGAGCGUGGGAAUGCUGGAGCGUCGUCGUACGGUGCCUCGCAUCUCAUGCUGAAGGAAGGAAAAGGCUGAAAAGCCACGUGCGGAGCUGUGGCUGUACUUGCAGCCGGCCCGGGCGGUACUGACGCCCCCCGGUGCGGGCCCGGGAUGUGCUGAGCUUGUAAGACAAAACUCCACGCAGCCUGUGCUGUGCAGUCGGGUUGCUCCUCAGAUGGGGAAAGCGGAAAGGUUCUGAGUCUGUGCUGUCGGUAUGGAUGGGAACUCAAGUCCUGCUUGUAGCCAGCUGUGUGGUCUUGAAGGCUGAGUACGAGCCAGAGAAGAAAGCUGAUGUGGAAAGAAAGAAGCUCAGUCGUAUCCAGCAGCCAGUGGUAGCUGCAGGUCAUCAGGGAGUGCUGUCAGUGCUGAAAGAGAAAAAAGGCCACGUGGACUUCAUACCCUGAAAUACAGCAGAGCAAUCCCCUAUCUCAUGACCAUCAAGCCAAGAGGAGCAAUUUACAGACUUUGUAGAAAGUGGUUCCUCUCCUCACUACUUUCUGGCCGUAUUACUACAUCCAGAUUGGGAUACACCUUGAUGUGCUCAGAAGCUGGAGCUACUGCCUGCGCCUUGGGAAGGAAAGAGCACGCUUCCUGUGGUGGUUGAAUCCUUUCCAAACGGGGCUAUUUUCUAGGCAUGUUGUGACUUUCAGAUCCAAAAACCUGAGGGCUGCAUUGUGCUGUGUUUUAUUUUCCAUGCAUCAUCCUAUGCUGGAUAGCAAGGAAUUCUGAGCUGCAGCCACAUCCCAGAUCUGUAUUUGUCUUGGAGUAGCAGGGAUUCCUCCCCCUUCCUAUGGGCAGCAAAUCAAACCCAGCUGUGCAAUUGUAGCCAGAAUAGGCUUUGGAAGAAGCGUGGCCAGGCAUUUGUUCUGCAUGAUUCAAUAAACCAAACAGCCUCGAAUUAGGAAUAUAACACAUAACGUUGUAUUUCGGAUGCUUGAUCUUGUUCCCUUAUGUGGUUGGAUCUGGACCUGUUUAGAAGCCACACACACCAGUGUGACAAGGAAAGGGCAGAUGAGAAAGCAUGGAGAAGGCCUCCUGGAAUCAGCAGAUAGUGUUCUUUGGCUGCAUCUAUGGUCAUGUUUUUUACAGCUAAUAUUGGAAAAAGCAUGAGUACAGGAAAGGAUAUAUAUAUAUAUAUAUAUAUAUAUAUAUAUAUAUAUAUAUAAAAACCACUGCAAAUAUAUCCUUAAACACUUGCAUUCAUUUGCAAAUGACAUCCAAAAAAAUAGCAUAGCUUUUAUUUCUCUCACAGCUAGCAAGGCAAAUCCACUUUUUGAGCAUGCAGAGGAGUGUUAUGUAGGAGACAGAUACUAUUUCAGUAAGGAGGCAAUGUUCAGGACAGUUAAAUUCAGCAGCCAUAUAGAAAAGGGUCUUGCAUUCUGCACACAAGGUCAUAGGUUAUUUAUAUUUAAUAUGUGACAUCUGGCAUUUUGAAUAAUUUCCUUGGCUAAUUACCAGUGCCUGGGUGAAAUGUGAAACUUCUGUCAUAGGGGAAUUAAAAGGAAAACAAAAACAAAAGUAGAUUGCAGAGCACUGGAAAGUUUUGUAGGAAAAUUAGGAGUUGUCCUAAUUCAGGCAUCAGAUACAUGGUAGGAGAAAAUAGAGUAAAAGGGAGUAGUGUGACUAAACUUGAAUAAAUUUAAGAUUUCAGGGAAAAUUUGCAGUCAUCCUUUUAAGACUCACUGUGCCUUGAUUGUUUGAUUGCAGCACUCCUACCUCAGUCUCAUGCUCAGCACUAGAUCAAUGGAGUAUUUGUAAUAACAAGUUUUCAAAGUAGAAAGGAAGAAAGAAAGGAUUGCCUACAAGGUGUGUGUUGACAAAAACACACCUACAUAAAAAUUUAAUGAGGUCAUAGAGCCUCAUUUAACCAUUUUACAGUUUACCCCAGGAAGCUUCAUCAUCGCUCCCCUAAACUUCCUGCAGUCAUAGUAGUACCCUGCAGUAUAUUUUUCUUCAAUAUGCAUUUCACAUUAAACAAUCAUUGCUUUGCUUUAUUGUUCGUUUAACAUUCUGCACAAAUUACUUCAUAAAGUUUUCUGCUGCUUUAUAUUUCUGUAGUUUUACAGAGAGGGUUGGAGUCUCAUUUGGCAGUUACCAUCAUGCAUACAUUAAAAAGAGCAGAGGGUCUGGAAGUCUUGCACUUGGCUGCAUGGCUCUCCUCACAGAAUCUGUUCACAGUAUUUUGCUUCCAGAUCAUCCAGUGAAAGCAAAAUAAAAUUACCAGCAGCAUUAUUACUGGAAUUAAAACAUAAGGCCAUUCCAGGCACAGGUAUUUGCUUCUGAAGCAACUGCUUUCACAGGUACCUUAGAGUCUUACUACAAAACCUAAAGUGGUUUGUGAGUGAAAUCAGAUGGCAAUUGAGAUUGCUACCAGAAAAAGAACAAAAUCCUUUAAUGCACAGUGAUGAUUGUAUAAGAUAAGUAUUUGUGGAAACUCUAAUGAGGUUUCAUAAAAGCUCUUAGGCUUGAUACAAAGACUAGGGGGGUAUUUUACUUACUUUUGCAUAUUUCAACUUUGAUUUUUGAAUGUUUGUCAGCCAACAAGACCUCUUGCUAAGGUACAGCACUGGGACUUAGAAAAUAUGGGUUCUGUUCCAACCUUCCAAUUUCUUGUAGGCUAAUUUUCAGACUUUCCCAAAGGACAUAACUAAUUUGCUCUCUAUAUACUCACUACAAACACUGCCUUAUUUCCCCUCUAAGGUGAGGACAACACAACUUCUGUAAUCUCUCUUUUUUCUUAGACUGCAUACGCCUCUGUAUAAGAACUUUGAAGUCUGAAAUAGCUCUUAAAUGUUGCUUGAAUAGCCAAGCAGCCAAACUGGGCAAUCACACAACUAUCAUAGCAAAAUUACCCCAGACUCUGAGCCUCUAGCUAGCUCUAUAGGAUCUAUACAUAAUACGAUAAUCCUAUGACAUGGCUCUAUUUUGUCUAAGUGUACUGCCUGCAUGAAAGCCUGCAGGGCUUGUUCUUCAGCGAGAGGGCCUGUCAACCUUGUGGAAAUUACUUUUGUCCUUGACUUGGGUCAGACUAAGCCAACAUAAAACAAUAGGCUCUAAUGCACAGAAUGCUUUAGAGGCUCACUGGCAGUUUGGCUUUUGGACUGUUAUCUCUCAGCUUUGUGGAAGUGGAUUCAUUUUGCAGUCAUCAGGUCACAUGCACACACCACUUGCUUAGUCUGUGCCUAAUGAGCUUUCUGACCCAGAAUCUUAAUUUGGAUACAACAGCUUUCAGAUGAGAGGCAACAGGUGCUGAACAGGAUUGCCAUGUCCCAGCUGUGGCAGGUGCUUGCAUGUCAUUUUGCUGUUAUCCAUGCCAGUAUGAAGUCAGAUAGGCCAGCCAGGUGGUUUGCAUUUAGCUUUUCUUUUGCAUUGGAAUAAAAGCAGAACUGACAGUCAGUUUUGAGUUGAUCGAGUUUCUGCCUGGUUUACUGACCAGAUUGCAUGUAAGAGGGUUGAUGCUUCUUUGACCGAGCACGGGUCGGGAGGUUUAACUUUUUGAUUUGGUUUCAGAAUAAAUUCUCAAUGCAGCAGUUAUCAGACACGAGGCUGCUAGCCCUGGUCCUUAUCUUUCUACCAUAACCCCUUCCCAGGGGUAGGCUUUGUGGGGUCCUCUGGCUCCUUACAUGCAAGACUGGACAAUGGGAUAUACUGCUGUGUAUUAAAAAUGAAUGGAAAGCAGAAAAAGCAAAAAGAUAGUAAGAACUGAUUAAGUGCUUAGUAUUCUUCCAAGCUGGACACGGCAACGUAUUCAAUUAAUAAAGUCAGGUCUGGAAGAAUAUUACUCGGUAAAGGUUCAUGCUUUUAAAAUAAAUUUAUUGGUGCUGUA
Molecule: long non-coding RNA, 3959 nt
Organism: Gallus gallus (chicken)
Lineage: Eukaryota; Metazoa; Chordata; Aves; Galliformes; Phasianidae
Exons: 4
Source: RefSeq, a predicted model, not a curated record